RNAcentral lists this long non-coding RNA (613 nucleotides) under Homo sapiens (human). RNAcentral describes it as "HSALNT0060817". The record is from RNAcentral. Lineage: Eukaryota; Metazoa; Chordata; Mammalia; Primates; Hominidae.
CCGCCGCCCACCCCCGGCCCCGAGCCGCUCACAGCCCCGAGCCGGGGGCGGCUGCCCAGCUCAUCGCACCGCCGGCCCGUGGCAGCCAGCAGUGGCUUCAGACCUCCGGAGCGCGCCGCCGCCGCCGCCUCCUCGCUGCAUCGUCCGGAGUUGGGGGCUGCCCGCGGGACGCGCCCGUGCGCGCCGCCGCCUCCCCGGGAGCGCGCACGCACCUUUCGCUCUGGGCGGGCCGGCCUGGGCAACGCGCUGGGGUUUUAAAGUGCCUCGGCGGGCGAAGGGCUCGGGUCACCCUCUCCGCAAGAGCCGGUCCCCGCCCCACGCGGUCACUGCGUCUAAUGUUUGCUUGUCUAUUGUCUGUAACCCUCCUUUCCCGACGGACGGGCCAGGCUGGAGCCACCGGCCGCGCCUGCAGCUCAGUGGGCGCCCCAGGUCCCCGGAAACGCCUGGAUGCGGCCGUUCUGGUUGCGAAAAAGCAGCAUGCUUUCCUGUUUAGUGGGAAAACUCAAAUAAAUAGAAAUCAUCCUUUAUCUUACCAUCGGUGAUCAACUUUAUCGUUUCCGUAUCUAUUAUUAGAAUUUAUACUACAUAUAUUUGUUUUCCAGAAAGAUCUUAG